UGCUUCUGUUUGUACACUUUGGACUUUGCAAGCUGAGCCUCUGAUGAGCCAUAAUGGCUCAUUAUUGUGUGGAUGCAUUUAAUUCUUCAUAAGUUUUAUGAUGCAAAAUAGCACGUUGGGCUUGUUCUGUGAGCAUUAACAGUGUAUUCUUUUGGAAAGCAUGAAGGAAAUGGAGAUCCUGGAUUGUCUUUCUUGGCCAGGUCAUCUUCAGAGUAGAUCUUGGAUAUCCUUGGGAAUACCACAUGAGGACACCAUUAUUCUCUUCCAGCCAUCCCAUGGAAAUGUUUAUUUUACAGAUGGCCAGCUUGACCUACUGACUUUAGAAUAGGAAGUUACUCCUAUGUCUCAGUUUAUCAUAACACGGUUAAACAAGUGCAGCACAAGUCAUUCCGAAGAACCGAGACAGACGUUCCAAGUCAAAAGUUUAAUAAGAGUUGUCUUCAAGGAGAACCUCCUGUAACAAGGGCACUUGAAUUCAAAUGCAAUUGAUCACCUUCUGGAGCAAAACCAGUACAACAGGAAGUUAAGCUGGAGCUGAAGCAUCGAGCUGCUGCUUCCACAGCAGCAGCACAAUCCUUUGUGCACUCCUGUGACUUCUUUGACACUGAGAGUGUUGGAAUUCGGUGGAGUGGGAAAGAAAGCCAGCAGUGUGAAUUGCAACGUGACAGCAGAUUUACUGGUUAGUCAUUUCUCAAAUUUCUGUAAGAUGUUGCACUGAUAAUUAGGAAAAUAUUGAUUUCUCUCACAUAGAAAGCAACAUUUAGAAAAUAUUCUCCUCCCUUUAUUACUGUUUAAGUCACACAAAAAGAUUGUAUACAACAACAGAUUAUCUCCGUUUUGACCAAGUAGGAACCAGAAGAGUGUAAGCAUUUAAACUACUGCUAGGAUAGCAAUGAACUUUAAAAAAUUCUACCAGGAAAAACAAAUCACAUGGUUGAGCAGUUUUGAUUUUAAAUCUGGAUGGGUGAAGGAAGGAAAUUAUUAUUAUUUUGAAUAACACAUACUAAUUAUGCAAAAUCCUAGCACAGAAUGGCCUCUGUAAGCAAAAUCAUACCUACAUAUCAUUAACCUCACAUUUUUAUUAAGGGCAAAAGAAGAAGCACAUUAUGUGUAAUACCAAGAAUUUAAUUUAAACCCAAAUGGAAAUUUUACUGUCUAAUUAAAUAGUGUUUAUUAUCCCACUGAAGUCAUCAUUGAAAAAAAUAAGUACUUUAAAAGAAAAAAUACAAUACUAUAGACCUGUGAUAUUCAUGCUUCUUAGUAUCUGUUACUUCUCCUGAAAUCUGUUACUUCCUCAGAAAUAAGAGUGGAUCAUGCAGCUCAAACCUUUAGCCAUGAAGAAUAUGAUCUUUUUGAUUUCUCCUGUCUCACCUUGAGAUCCUCUUGGGUAAUACUUCUGUGUUUGCUAACGUGUCAUGCACCUUGCUUGCUCUUUACUGAGUAGUUCAUGGUGCAGCUGAAUUUCCUAGAAUUCCUAGAAUUCAUGGGCUAUUUCACAUAAGCUGCAUGCUUGUUCUCUGUUUUCUUUGUACCUCUGCAGGUACAAAGGUGCUGCUCAGCUGUCAGUCUGCAUUUCUCCAGCUGACCUUUGGUGAGUUGUGGAUAGUGCAAAGGGUCCUCUGUGAGUCUGACCCAUCCCUUACCAUCCCAUGAACUUCUCUAGACCAUCUCCUAUGGACCCACUUUCCAAGGUGCUAUCAUACCAUGUGUUUUACAGAGAAUAUCUGCAUAAAACUAUUGUACCAUACAAAGAUAAGCAAAAAUAAAGCAAAUUAAGCAUAA
Molecule: long non-coding RNA, 1782 nt
Organism: Lonchura striata (white-rumped munia)
Lineage: Eukaryota; Metazoa; Chordata; Aves; Passeriformes; Estrildidae
Source: RefSeq, a predicted model, not a curated record